GUCCCCGUAGCUCAGCCGGAUAGAGCGGCGGUUUCCUAAACCGUAGGUCGGAGGUUCGAAUCCUCUCGGGGACGCCA
Molecule: transfer RNA, 77 nt
Filed under: Alphaproteobacteria bacterium
Lineage: Bacteria; Pseudomonadati; Pseudomonadota; Alphaproteobacteria
Also listed under: 1 other name
Description: tRNA-Arg
Rfam family: tRNA
About the family: Transfer RNA (tRNA) molecules are approximately 80 nucleotides in length.
Source: RNAcentral